This is an RNA transcript of Thalassophryne amazonica, 3113 nucleotides long. It is a transcript of the gene named RNA binding motif protein 25a, with no coding region annotated. The record is from RefSeq and is a predicted model, not a curated record. The transcript is spliced from 18 exons. Lineage: Eukaryota; Metazoa; Chordata; Actinopteri; Batrachoidiformes; Batrachoididae.
GGAGCUAACUGCGCUGCAUUUGGAUAACCCGACUAUUAGUAGCCACUUUAAAAGGAAUUGGGUUCAGGUUCCUGCAGGAUGUCGUACCCUCCUCCUCCUCUCAAUCAGCAGUUUGGCAUCCCACAGUUACCUCCCAGGAUCCCUCCUCCUCCGUUUGCUGGGUUUGCGACGACAGUGCCUCCAGGAACGCCAAUGAUCCCCGUUCACAUGGGUGUAGUGGCCCCCGCUCCCACAGUUCUUGUCCCUACCACAGUUUCAGUUGCACAGAAGCCAGUAACAACAAAGGAGUCUGGCACAAUCAGAACCAAGGUUGCUGAUAACAGCAGUGGCCCUAUCACCACUGUGUUUGUCGGAAACAUCUCUGAAAAGGCAUCUGACAUGUUGGUCAGACAGCUGCUAGCCAAAUGUGGUAUUGUUGUAAGCUGGAAGAGGGUUCAAGGUGCCUCUGGGAAGCUUCAAGCAUUUGGGUUUUGUGAGUAUAAGGAGCCUGAUUCCACACUACGAGCCCUCAGACUUCUGCAUGAGUUAUUAUUAGGUGACAAGAAGCUGUUGGUGAAAGUAGACGCCAAGACCAAGGCCCACUUAGAUGAAUGGAAAGCCAAGAGGAAGAGUACCACUGGGGGAGCCAUUGGGGAGUUAAAGAAUGGUGAGGAAGAUGAGGAGGAAGUUCUUGAUGAAGAAACUCUACGCCGGGACCAGAUUGUGAAGGGUGCAAUAGAUAUCCUCAUUCGAGAGUAUGCAAGUGAUCUCACUGCACCAUCACUGGACCCUGACAGUCAACCACGCAAGAAGCGCAGAGAGAAGAAAGAAGAGGACAUCAAUGCCAUGGAGAUGGAGGAUGACAAGAGGGACUUGAUUUCCAGAGAGAUCAGUAAAUUUCGAGACAUACACAAGAAACUUGAAGAAGAAAAAGGAAAGAAAGAAAAGGAGCAUCUGGAACUCGAGAAGGAAAGGAGAGAACGGGACAAGGAGCGAGAACGUGAGCGGGAACGGCGCGAUCGUGAAAAAGAGAAGGAAAGGGAGAGGGACAAGGAGCGGGAACGAGAUCGUGAAAGGGAACGAGAAAAAGACCGCAAAAGGGAGAGAACCAAGGAGCAUGAGAGGGAGAGAAGUCGUGAUGUCAGUGACGCCCGCAGCCGAUCGAAAGAGAGGACCAGGGAUGAUAAAAAACGAGACCGUGAAGAAAAUGAGGAAGAUGUUUAUGAGCGGCGGAGGCUUGAGAGGAGGCUUCGGGACAAAGAAGCUGCUUACCAGGAGCGCCUCAAAAACUGGGAGAUCCGAGAGAGGAAGAAGGCACGAGACUACAGCAAAGAAAUGGACCGGGAGGAUGAGAGGCAUCGUGAAAUGAUGAAAGAAGCCAGAAGACUGAAAGAAUUCCUUGAAGAUUAUGAUGACGACAGAGAUGACCCAAAAUUCUACAGGGGCAGUGCAUUGCAGAAGAGACUGCGAGAUAGAGACAAGGAGACAGAGUUGGAUGAGCGAGACCGGAAAAGGGAGAAGGAGGAGCUGGAAGAGAUCAGACAGCGACUUCUUGCUGAGGGUCACCCUAACCCGGACGCUGAGCUGCAGAGGAUGGAGGAGGAGGCAGAGCGCAGACGACAACCCCCUUUGAAACUUGAGGCAGAGAAGGGUGCGACCCAGGAGAAACCCCACAGAGAUCGAGAUCGUGAGAAGAGGGCUUCAGGAGAUCGGGAUCGUGAGAAGAGGGCUUCAGGAGAUCGUGAGAAGAGGGCUUCAGGAAGACCCAAGGAGCCAUCACCCCAAAUCCCUCAGGACCACUCAGAUGAAGUGGAAGAAAUGGAGAAUGAUGACUUCCACAAUGGCAAGGACUCACAAGAAACCAAGCCACACCUCAAGCCCAUUAUGCGACCAAUCGCGAGCCCUCCCUCCGUGUCCUCUGCCAGUGGGAACGCAACUCCCAACACACCUGGCAACAUGUCCCCCUGUGGCAUCAUCAUUCCAGGCGAGGGUACCCCUGAAAACCAACCCCCUGAGGAACACCGGCCAAAGAUAGGCCUCAGUCUCAAAUUAGGUGCUACAAAUAGUCCAAGCCAGCCAAAUGCUGGAAAGUGCAAGAAGUUGGCAGCCGUAGAUAGUGUUUUCAACAGGUUUGAUGAUGAGGAGGAGGCUGAUGAGGAGCCUCGCAAAAGGAAGCUGGUUCCAUUAGACUAUGGUGAUGAUGACAAAAGUAUGGGGCUGGAUGGGGCAGAACUUUCAGGGGCCAAAGGCAGUGUUAACACAGAGGAGAAACGAAAACACAUUAAGACUCUAAUUGAGAAGAUUCCCACUGGCAGGCCUGAGCUCUUUUCCUAUCCUCUGGACUGGGUGAUGGUUGAUUCGAGUCUAAUGGAUCGUCGCAUUAGACCAUGGAUCAACAAGAAGAUUAUUGAAUACAUCGGUGAAGAAGAACCAACUCUAGUUGAUUUUGUCUGUUCAAAGAUUAUGGCACAUAGCACCCCUCAGGGUAUUCUUGAUGAUGUUGCUAUGGUAAGUUGAAAUUGGACUUUGUCAACUGUUAGAGAGACCUGGAAUAACUACCAAACUUUGGAAGCAUAUGCAGGUAGUUUGGGAAUAGGCAACCGGUCUGGGAGCUGUAUGUUAUUGCAUGCCCUACUCCUGGGAACCGCGCCAGGUUCUGCAAAGCCCCAUCAAGGCAGACAACCAGUCCACCCCCACUUCUCAAAAGCAGCUAUCUGCUGCAGCCAGGUGAGAUGUGGGCAUCCCCAUCACUCUUUCCAGUUGUUGAUGUCCUCAGCAGCCGUGUGCUGGUUCAAGCCUGGAGAAAUGUGCCAAAUCUCACAGCUAACAUACCCUCAGUAUGCAAGAGAUACACCUCAUAAGUACCUGCCUUAGGUUGCUGCCUUUCAUCACUGCUUAAUGAUAGAGCUAUACAUUAAGACAGGAAGCACCCGGAUUCUAAAGACUUGGACCUUCAUUAUCCUGCAUAGGUAUCACCAUUGCCAAACACCUCUGUCCAUGACUCCAUGACACCAUCGGGCAUCUCUCUGCCUCAAAGGCUGAAGACACAGAGAAUGAAUGUCAGUGCUGAGGUACAUGAAUCUCUCUACAAUACAGGAAAUACUCGAAAGCCUAACUCUUUCUCGAUCCAGCAC